CACAAGCUUUCAGGAAAUAUGAA
Molecule: non-coding RNA, 23 nt
Filed under: Arabidopsis thaliana (thale cress)
Lineage: Eukaryota; Viridiplantae; Streptophyta; Magnoliopsida; Brassicales; Brassicaceae
Source: RNAcentral